AUUGAACGCUGGCGGCAGGCCUAGCACGUGCAAGUCGAACGGUAGCACAGAGAGCUUGCUCUCGGGUGACGAGUGGCGGACGGGUGAGUAAUGUCUGGGAAACUGCCCGAUGGAGGGGGAUAACUACUGGAAACGGUAGCUAAUACCGCAUAACGUCGCAAGACCAAAGUGGGGGACCUUCGGGCACCACACCAUCGGAUGUGCCCCGGUGGGAUUAGCUAGUAGGUGGGGUAAUGGCUCACCUAGGCGACGAUCCCUAGCUGGUCUGAGAGGAUGACCAGCCACACUGGAACUGAGACACGGUCCAGACUCCUACGGGAGGCAGCAGUGGGGAAUAUUGCACAAUGGGCGCAAGCCUGAUGCAGCCAUGCCGCGUGUAUGAAGAAGGCCUUCGGGUUGUAAAGUACUUUCAGCGGGGAGGAAGGCGGUGAAGUUAAUAACUUCACCGAUUGACGUUACCCGCAGAAGAAGCACCGGCUAACUCCGUGCCAGCAGCCGCCGUAA
Molecule: ribosomal RNA, 504 nt
Filed under: uncultured bacterium
Lineage: Bacteria
Description: partial 16S ribosomal RNA
Rfam family: Bacterial small subunit ribosomal RNA
Source: RNAcentral